AAUGAACGCUGGCGGCAUGCCUAACACAUGCAAGUCGAACGAGACCUUCGGGUCUAGUGGCGCACGGGUGCGUAACGCGUGGGAACCUGCCCUUAGGUUCGGAAUAACUCCCCGAAAGGGGUGCUAAUACCGGAUAAUGUCUUCGGACCAAAGAUUUAUCGCCUUUGGAUGGGCCCGCGUUGGAUUAGCUAGUUGGUAGGGUAAAAGCCUACCAAGACGACGAUCCAUAGCUGGUCUGAGAGGAUGAUCAGCCACACUGGGACUGAGACACGGCCCAGACUCCUACGGGAGGCAGCAGUGGGGAAUAUUGGACAAUGGGCGAAAGCCUGAUCCAGCAAUGCCGCGUGAGUGAUGAAGGCCUUAGGGUUGUAAAGCUCUUUUACCCGGGAUGAUAAUGACAGUACCGGGAGAAUAAGCUCCGGCUAACUCCGUG
Molecule: ribosomal RNA, 433 nt
Filed under: uncultured bacterium
Lineage: Bacteria
Description: partial 16S ribosomal RNA
Rfam family: Bacterial small subunit ribosomal RNA
Source: RNAcentral